UACGUAGGGUGCAAGCGUUGUCCGGAAUUAUUGGGCGUAAAGAGCUCGUAGGCGGUCUGUCGCGUCGGCUGUGAAAACCCGAGGCUCAACCUCGGGCCUGCAGUCGAUACGGGCAAACUAGAGUACUGCAGGGGAGACUGGAAUUCCUGGUGUAGCGGUGAAAUGCGCCGAUAUCAGGAGGAACACCGGUGGCGAAGGCGGGUCUCUGGGCAGUAACUGACGCUGAGGAGCGAAAGCGUGGGGAGCGAACAGG
Molecule: ribosomal RNA, 253 nt
Filed under: uncultured bacterium
Lineage: Bacteria
Description: partial 16S ribosomal RNA
Rfam family: Bacterial small subunit ribosomal RNA
Source: RNAcentral